GUGUUUAGUCAUACCACCCUGAAUGCACACCAUUUCAUCUGACAUCAGAGGCUAAGCAGGACAGGGCCUCAUUGCUGGAAGGAUGGGAGAGAUUCUGACCCAGUAGAUCUGGGAUGGAACUCU
This 123-nucleotide ribosomal RNA is filed under the name Mesocricetus auratus (golden hamster). Lineage: Eukaryota; Metazoa; Chordata; Mammalia; Rodentia; Cricetidae. The record is from RNAcentral.